UACGGAGGGUGCAAGCGUUAUCCGGAUUCACUGGGUUUAAAGGGUGCGUAGGAGGGCAGGUAAGUCAGUGGUGAAAUAUCCCGGCUUAACCGGGAGGGUGGCAUUGAUACUGCGGGGCUAGAGUACAGAUGAGGUAGGCGGAAUUGACGGUGUAGCGGUGAAAUGCUUAGAUAUCGGGAGGAACACCUAUGGCGAAGGCAGCUCGCUGGGACGUUACUGACGCUGAGACGCGAAAGCGUGGGGAGCAAACAGG
Molecule: ribosomal RNA, 253 nt
Filed under: uncultured bacterium
Lineage: Bacteria
Description: partial 16S ribosomal RNA
Rfam family: Bacterial small subunit ribosomal RNA
Source: RNAcentral